Molecule: long non-coding RNA, 230 nt
Filed under: Cricetulus griseus (Chinese hamster)
Lineage: Eukaryota; Metazoa; Chordata; Mammalia; Rodentia; Cricetidae
Description: lncRNA (ENSCGRG00000024901.1)
Source: RNAcentral
UGAAAAUUACAGUUUGGUUCAGGCUGGGAUAAUGAGAUAUGAGAAGAUUUACAUGUUUCCUUCUGUGCAUAUUUCUAUGCAAAGUUUCUCCAGAGAACUGAAGCAUAGCCAAAUCCCUCAACACAGAAAAAAAAAAUCACUUAACAGCAAAAAGCAACUUCAUCCUGUUUCAUUUCAUGGCUUUCACUUCCAAAUAUGGAAUAUAAGCAUCUGGAAAGCAAGGUAAUAUG